Molecule: non-coding RNA, 61 nt
Organism: Salmonella enterica subsp. enterica serovar Macclesfield
Lineage: Bacteria; Pseudomonadati; Pseudomonadota; Gammaproteobacteria; Enterobacterales; Enterobacteriaceae
Source: Rfam
AUUGUGACAUGUUAAACAAAAACGCCCGACAGGUGUGCGCUGCCGGGCGUUUUUGACGGGG